This 253-nucleotide ribosomal RNA is filed under the name uncultured bacterium. Its description in RNAcentral is "partial 16S ribosomal RNA". It matches the Rfam family "Bacterial small subunit ribosomal RNA", at positions 524 to 776 of the family's 1533-position model. The record is from RNAcentral.
GACGUAGGGCGCGAGCGUUGUCCGGAUUUAUUGGGCGUAAAGAGCUCGUAGGCGGCUUGUCGCGUCGUCUGUGAAAUCCCGCGGCUCAACUGCGGGCUGGCAGUCGAUACGGGCAGGCUGGAGUUCGGUAGGGGAGACUGGAAUUCCUGGUGUAGCGGUGAAAUGCGCAGAUAUCAGGAGGAACACCGGUGGCGAAGGCGGGGCUCUGGGCCGAGACUGACGCUGAGGAGCGAAAGCGUGGGGAGCGAACAGG